Molecule: ribosomal RNA, 253 nt
Filed under: uncultured bacterium
Lineage: Bacteria
Description: partial 16S ribosomal RNA
Rfam family: Bacterial small subunit ribosomal RNA
Source: RNAcentral
UACGUAGGUGGCAAGCGUUGUCCGGAUUCACUGGGCGUAAAGGGUGCGUAGGUGGUGAGGUAAGUCGGAUGUGAAAGCUCGGAGCUCAACUCCGAAAUGGCAUUGGAAACUACCUUGCUCGAGGGUUGGAGGGGGGACUGGAAUGCUUGGUGUAGCAGUGAAAUGCGUAGAUAUCAAGCGGAACACCAGUGGCGAAGGCGGCUCACUGGCCCGUAACUGACGCUGAGGCACGAAAGCGUGGGGAGCAAACAGG